CUACACAUGCAGUCGAACGGCAGCACAGUAAGAGCUUGCUCUUAUGGGUGGCGAGUGGCGGACGGGUGAGGAAUACAUCGGAAUCUACCUUUUCGUGGGGGAUAACGUAGGGAAACUUACGCUAAUACCGCAUAAGACCUUCGGGUGAAAGCCGGGGACCUUCGGGCCUGGCGCGGAUAGAUGAGCCGAUGUCGGAUUAGCUUGUUGGCGGGGUAAAAGCCCACCAAGGCGACGAUCCGUAGCUGGUCUGAGAGGAUGAUCAGCCACACUGGAACUGAGACACGGUCCAGACUCCUACGGGAGGCAGCAGUGGGGAAUAUUGGACAAUGGGCGCAAGCCUGAUCCAGCCAUACCGCGUGGGUGAAGAAGGCCUUCGGGUUGUAAAGCCCUUUUGUUGGGAAAGAAAUCCUGCCGAUUAAUACUCAGUAGGGAUGACGGUACCCAAAGAAUAAGCACCGGCUAACUUCGUGCCAGCAGCCGCGGUAAUACGAAGGGUGCAAGCGUUACUCGGAAUUACUGGGCGUAAAGCGUGCGUAGGUGGUUGUUUAAGUCUGUCGUGAAAGCCCUGGGCUCAACCUGGGAAUUGCGAUGGAUACUGGGCGACUAGAGUGUGGUAGAGGACAGUGGAAUUUCCGGUGUAGCAGUGAAAUGCGUAGAGAUCGGAAGGAACAUCUGUGGCGAA
This 682-nucleotide ribosomal RNA is filed under the name bacterium 19_xplvp109. Its description in RNAcentral is "bacterial SSU rRNA". It matches the Rfam family "Bacterial small subunit ribosomal RNA", at positions 49 to 719 of the family's 1533-position model. RNAcentral also lists the same sequence under 1 other name. The record is from RNAcentral.